This 491-nucleotide ribosomal RNA is filed under the name uncultured bacterium. RNAcentral's name for it is "partial 16S ribosomal RNA". It matches the Rfam family "Bacterial small subunit ribosomal RNA", at positions 29 to 507 of the family's 1533-position model. The record is from RNAcentral.
GUGCACGCUGGCGGUAGGCCUAACACAUGCAAGUCGAACGGCAGCACAGUAAGAGCUUGCUCUUACGGGUGGCGAGUGGCGGACGGGUGAGGAAUACAUCGGAAUCUACUUUUUCGUGGGGGAUAACGUAGGGAAACUUACCCUAAUACCGCAUACGACCUACGGGUGAAAGCAGGGGAUCUUCGGACCUUGCGCGAUUGAAUGAGCCGAUGUCGGAUUAGCUAGUUGGCGGGGUAAAGGCCCACCAAGGCGACGAUCCGUAGCCGGUCUGAGAGGAUGAUCAGCCACACUGGAACUGAGACACGGUCCAGACUCCUACGGGAGGCAGCAGUGGGGAAUAUUGGACAAUGGGCGCAAGCCUGAUCCAGCCAUACCGCGUGGGUGAAGAAGGCCUUCGGGUUGUAAAGCCCUUUUGUUGGGAAAGAAAAGCAGCAGGUUAAUACCCCGCUGUUCUGACGGUACCCAAAGAAUAAGCACCGGCUAACUUCGUG